RNAcentral lists this long non-coding RNA (428 nucleotides) under Phascolarctos cinereus (koala). Its description in RNAcentral is "lncRNA (ENSPCIG00000037390.1)". Lineage: Eukaryota; Metazoa; Chordata; Mammalia; Diprotodontia; Phascolarctidae. The record is from RNAcentral.
GUUAUGCCUGUCUUAUAGCUGGUUUAGGCUGUGGAGGGACACAGGUGUAGAGAAAUGACAGGGAAUAAACAGAAUUGGUGUUAAAAGGAAAUGGGGAGGGGUGGUAAUCCUUCCUCUUCAUCUCUGAAGAAUUAUAGCCGGUGGUCUGAAUCUUCCCUGAGACGAAGAAGCAUUCACCUAGCUGUACCUGACCUGCCGCUCAGAGGGAAUCUGACUAUUAAAGGGGAAAAAACUCUGUUGCUUUGAAGUUCAAUGAACCAGAUGGCGGAUAUUCUGAAAUUUUUUCCGAUCUAAAAACAAGAAAUUUGAAGCCCAAAUGAAUUUGAGUCCUAGAGAGCUUCAGAGGCGUUGAAUUCAACUCCUGCAGUUGAAAACCAGUCAGCAAAACCCCCAAGCAUGGCAGAACCAGAUUAAAAAGUAAUUGGGAA